RNAcentral lists this ribosomal RNA (467 nucleotides) under Ovis aries (sheep). RNAcentral's name for it is "partial 12S ribosomal RNA". The record is from RNAcentral. Lineage: Eukaryota; Metazoa; Chordata; Mammalia; Artiodactyla; Bovidae.
UAUAGGUUUGGUCCCAGCCUUCCUGUUAACUUUCAAUAGACUUAUACAUGCAAGCAUCCACGCCCCGGUGAGUAACGCCCUUCGAAUCACACAGGACUAAAAGGAGCAGGUAUCAAGCACACACUCUUGUAGCUCACAACGCCUUGCUUAACCACACCCCCACGGGAGACAGCAGUAACAAAAAUUAAGCCAUAAACGAAAGUUUGAUUAAGCCAUAUUGAUUAGGGUUGGUAAAUCUCGUGCCAGCCACCGCGGUCAUACGAUUGACCCAAGCUAACAGGAGUACGGCGUAAAGCGUGUUAAAGCAUCAUACUAAAUAGAGUUAAAUUUUAAUUAAACUGUAAAAAGCCAUAAUUAUAACAAAUAUAAAUGACGAAAGUAACCCUACAAUAGCUGAUACACCAUAGCUAAGACCCAAACUGGGAUUAGAUACCCCACUAUGCUUAGCCCUAAACACAAAUAAUUAU